Molecule: non-coding RNA, 950 nt
Filed under: Astronotus ocellatus (oscar)
Lineage: Eukaryota; Metazoa; Chordata; Actinopteri; Cichliformes; Cichlidae
Description: 12S rRNA
Rfam family: Bacterial small subunit ribosomal RNA
Source: RNAcentral
CAAAGGUUUGGUCCUGACUUUACUAUCAACUUUAGCUAAACUUACACAUGCAAGUCUCCGCGCCCCUGUGAGAAUGCCCAUAGUUCUCUGCCCGAAAACAAGGAGCUGGUAUCAGGCACACACCUAACUUUAGCCCAUGACACCUUGCUUAGCCACACCCUCAAGGGAAUUCAGCAGUGAUAGAUAUUAAGCCCUAAGUGAAAACUUGACUUAGUUAAAGCUAAGAGGGCCGGUAAAACUCGUGCCAGCCACCGCGGUUAUACGAGAGGCCCAAGUUGACAGAUACCGGCGUAAAGCGUGGUUAGGAAAAACUUCUUCACUAAAGCCGAAUGCCCUCAGAACCGUCAUACGUUCCCGAAGGUAAGAAGCCCCAUCACGAAAGUGGCUUUACACUCCCCGACCCCACGAAAGCUGUGAAACAAACUGGGAUUAGAGACCCCACUAUGCCCAGCCCUAAACUUUGAUAGCACUUUACACCCGCUAUCCGCCAGGGAACUACGAGCAUUAGCUUAAAACCCAAAGGACUUGGCGGUGCUUUAGACCCACCUAGAGGAGCCUGUUCUAGAACCGAUAACCCCCGUUCAACCUCACCCUCUCUUGUCAUUUCCGCCUAUAUACCGCCGUCGUCAGCUUACCCUGUGAAGGAACUAUAGUAAGCAAAACUAGUAAAACCCAAAACGCCAGGUCGAGGUGUAGCAUAUGAGAGGGGAAGAAAUGGGCUACAUUCCCUACCCCAGGGAACACGAACAAUAUGAUGAAAAGCACAUUAGAAGGAGGAUUUAGCAGUAAGCAAAAAAUAGAGUGUUUUGCUGAAACCGGCCCUGAAGCGCGCACACACCGCCCGUCACUCUCUCCGAACCAACAACUUUCCCAAAUUUAUAAUACACUUUUCCGGUAAAGGGAGCAAGUCGUAACAUGGUAAGUGUACCGGAAGGUGUACUUGGAAAAAU